GGGGAUUUGGCUCAGCGGUAGAGCGCUCCCUUAGCAUUCCAAUGCUUGGGAGAGGCGGCGUGUUCGACUCAUGCAAUCUCCA
Molecule: transfer RNA, 82 nt
Filed under: Serendipita indica DSM 11827
Lineage: Eukaryota; Fungi; Basidiomycota; Agaricomycetes; Sebacinales; Serendipitaceae
Description: Piriformospora indica DSM 11827 tRNA
Rfam family: tRNA
About the family: Transfer RNA (tRNA) molecules are approximately 80 nucleotides in length.
Source: Rfam by way of RNAcentral